This 1504-nucleotide unclassified non-coding RNA is filed under the name Haliotis rufescens (red abalone). RNAcentral describes it as "chitin deacetylase 7-like, transcript variant X1". Lineage: Eukaryota; Metazoa; Mollusca; Gastropoda; Lepetellida; Haliotidae. The record is from RNAcentral.
CUGAUAGGGCUGUCGUGAGUGCUUGUAGGGACACAGGUAGCUAAAUACCCGCCACAUCCCCCGAGACUCUCAGUCCAACCUGAGGGACACGGCCACACACAUCUACACAGCACAAGCCGUUCACCAACUGACGUGCAGUACCAAUACAAAAUCUCCCAAAAUCACGAGAAUCUCUGCUCAGUCAGAAUGUUGUCACUGGCUCUACUGUGCUGCGUUUUGGCGAGUGUGUCGGCUCAGUGUCAGCCAGGCGGGAACUGUAAGCUCCCAGACUGCCGCUGUUGGUUCGAUGAAGACAUCCCAGGGGGCCUUGCGCCGGAUGAGACCCCUCAGGUUGUCCUGGUGACAUUCGAGGACGCCGUGAACGAGGUGAACGCCGACAUAUACAAGUCCCUAUUCACAGGUACCAAUCCUAACGGCUGCCCAGCCAGAGGAACAUUUUUUAUCAAGAACCUUGACACAAACUAUGACAUCGUGCGUGACUUGUUCGACGAUGGCCAUGAGAUUGGAGCCAACUCUCUUGAUGGUUCCUACCCUGCUAACGAGGAAGAUUGGAGGACUAUGCUGCAGACAAUCAAACGUGAACUCGCGGAUGUUGGCAUAACCGGAAAUGAAGUAAAGGGUGUCAGAGCACCAGAGUUGAGAGCCGGCGGCCUCGACGAGUUCAUCGGCAUGGGCGACAACAACUUUGACUACGACGCCUCCUGUAUCACGUCUGAGUUUGAUACACAGGCCAACCUGAAAUGGCCGUACACCUACGACUUUAUCCCCGGACCUUCCUGCAACGACGGCGAGCCACCAAACGCGCCCUUCCCUGGCAAGUGGCAGUUUCUGGUGGCAGCCCUCUCUAACAAUGGCACGACAUGUGCAACGCCAAGUGCCUGCACCAACUUGCUGACCCAGACAGAAGUCUUUGACCUAUUCUUCAACAGUUUCGCCUCGCACUACGAGGGCGACCGGUCUCCCUUCACCCUCAUCAUCAACCCCGACUUCGUCCUUGUGCCGUACAAGCUGGCAGGGCUCAAGGAGUUCCUGGAGUACGUCAGAGCUGCAUUCGAGGACACAUGGAUUCUACCAAUGAACAAGGCGCUGGACUGGAUCAAAGACCCCACACCCAGUCUGAACAUCUCAACCUUCCAGCCGUGGUCCUGCUAGCUGGAGGCGACUGAUGCCGCCUCUGCAUGUUGACCUCCAUCGGCCCGUAUCACACGCAUCUACCUACCUUCUAAAGUUAUGUUAUUUACUUGAUCUCAGGCUGAAUAACCUCCCAGGGUGGCCUCUGACACCCCACCCCUCAUGUAGUGUCGCCUAUAUCUGACACAUACCCCCACCCCCUCAUGUAGUGUCGCCUAUAUCUGACACCCCACCCCCUCACGUAGUGUCGCCCAUAUUUGACACACCCCGACUCAUGUCGCCUAUAUCUGACACCCCUUCAUUCAGCGUCCACAUCCCAGGUCACGUGUUAUACAUGCUAAUUUCAAAGUGUAUUAAAUAUAACCUGAUUCUG